RNAcentral lists this microRNA precursor (58 nucleotides) under Mus caroli (Ryukyu mouse). Its description in RNAcentral is "microRNA 3569 (MGP_CAROLIEiJ_G0008090.1)". It matches the Rfam family "mir-3569 microRNA precursor family". Lineage: Eukaryota; Metazoa; Chordata; Mammalia; Rodentia; Muridae. The record is from RNAcentral.
UCGGAGGAGAGCAGACUGGUGGUCGAAAUCCCGACCUCAGUCUGCGCUCCUCUCCAGC